GUAUCGGAUAGCUUAACUGGUGGAGCCUUUGGCGCGUAACCAAACGAUCCGGGUUCGAGUCCCGGUCUGGGCU
This 73-nucleotide transfer RNA is filed under the name Cotesia glomerata. RNAcentral's name for it is "tRNA-Thr". The stretch from base 5 to 69 matches the Rfam family "tRNA". From Rfam's summary of the family: Transfer RNA (tRNA) molecules are approximately 80 nucleotides in length. Their secondary structure includes four short double-helical elements and three loops (D, anti-codon, and T loops). Lineage: Eukaryota; Metazoa; Arthropoda; Insecta; Hymenoptera; Braconidae. The record is from RNAcentral.